Paramuricea clavata is the source of this 305-nucleotide non-coding RNA. NCBI's taxonomy places the organism in Eukaryota, Metazoa, Cnidaria, Anthozoa, Malacalcyonacea, Plexauridae. The record is from the annotation of a GenBank genome assembly.
CUUGACAUUACAUGUAUAAAAUAUGAUUUAUUAUCGUUGGUGAAAGAAAUUGUUCUGGUGUUGGUGAAAUAAAUUUCGUUUUAAUUAUCUCUGCAUGGAAGCCUUCAUUCAUUAUCCGUGUACGGGCCCAUUGAAUUGGUCAUUGAAAUAUAACUUUUUUUACUGAAAUAGUUGCCCAAAUAUUUGUGGCCCUCCCUUCUAGAUGGGCACAAAAAUAUUUGGCCCUCCCCAAAAGGGGGUCCAAAAAAUGGUAGCCCCCCCCCUAAAUUUACCGGCCCCCCCCCCCCCCCAAUAAUUAAUGACCG